UUCAGUUACUUUUUUUUUCUUCUUCUUCCUCUGUUAUUAGGGUUUUCAAUUCUCCAAAAAUUUCUACAUUCUAUUUUUUUGUUUCAUUUCUUCAUCUUCAUUUACGUUUAUAUAAUCAGAAUUGCUUCGUCUUCUUCUGUUAUAUUGCAGGCAGGUUUUUAAAAUUUUUCUGAAAGUUCAAGAAAACGUUGCAGGUUUUUAGCUGAUGAAAAUUUAGGGUUUAUUUGUUACUGAUGGCUGAUAGUAGACGAUACCUUUCCAAUCAACCUCUUGACUUACAGCAGAUAUUAGAGGAAGCCAAAUGCCGAUGGCUUCGGCCUAACGAAAUCCUGGAAAUACUAAGCAACUAUCAAAGGUUUAUGCUAACUCCAGAGCAACCUGUUAGGCCUCCAGCUGGUUCUUUGUUCCUGUUUGAUAGAAAAAAACUGCGAUAUUUUCGCAAAGAUGGCCACCAAUGGAGGAAGAAAACUGACGGAAAAACUGUCAAAGAAGCUCAUGAAAAGUUGAAGGCUGGUAGUGUGGAUGUUCUUCAUUGUUACUAUGCCCAUGGAGAGGAUAACGAAAACUUUCAGCGACGUUCUUAUUGGAUGCUUGAUGGGAAUUUAGAGCAUAUUGUUCUCGUGCACUAUAGAGAUGUAAAGGAGGGAUACAGAUCCGGUGGAUCUCAUUUGCUAUCAAAUCCAAGUGCUCGGAUUGAUAGCUCUCAAGCCAGUUCUGCCCCUUCCUUUGCACAAACAGCCUCACCUGCUUUUACAGCUCAGACAUCUUACAUAUCAAGCCCAAACAGAAUAGAUUGGAACAGCCAAACAUUAUCCUCAGAGUUUGAGGAUGUGCAUUCUAGGGAUAAUCAAGGAGCCACUUGUCCCUUUGAACCUAUCCAUGGUUCCUUGUCUGGUGGUGCUUCUUUACUUGGAACUGAAGUAGAUGGAUUUUCUAUGUCAUCAAGGAGUCCUGGAUUAUGGCCUACUGGAUCUAAGAUUGGUCAAAGCACCGGGUCUUCUGUAUGUAAUGAAACUCCUAUCUCUAGCAAAAAUGUGGUUCGCAUGCAGGAUCAGAAACUGUGUGUUGGGGAACAUAGCAGACCUGACUUUCUUGCUCAUAAGUUAACAGAUUCCAGCUUAGAUAGUGAUUGUCCGGAUACUAUGACUGUUGAGUGUAGAUUGAUAUCUGAAAUAGAUGAUCAAGCAGUGGCAGAAGUUCCUCAGAGAUCAAUUCAGGCUGAUUUGCUUGGCCAACCGAAAAGUGGUCGCGUAAAUGAUAGUGGAUUAGGAGAGUUAAAGAAACUUGAUAGUUUUGGGAGAUGGAUGGUUAAAGAGAUUGGUGGUGAUUGUGAUGAUUCAUUCAUGGCGUCAGACUCUGGCAAUUACUGCUGGACCCCACUGGACGCUGAGAAUGAAGACAAGGAAGUUUCCAGUUUAUCACACCACAUGCAGUUAGAGAUUGAAUCAUUGGGUCCUUCACUUUCUCAGGAACAGUUAUUUAGCAUUCGUGAUUUUUCACCAGACUGGGGUUAUUCUGGUAUUGAAACAAAGGUUCUAAUUGUUGGUACUUUUUUGGGAAGCAAGAAGUUUUCUAGUGACAGCAAAUGGGGCUGUAUGUUUGGUGAAAUUGAAGUUUCUGCUGAUGUUCUGACAUAUAAUGUUAUCAGAUGUCAAGCCCCUUUACAUACUUCUGGGAGAGUUCCAUUCUACAUCACCUGCCGGAAUAGGCUAGCAUGCAGUGAGGUGAGGGAAUUUGAAUAUCGUGAAACUCCUUCAAAUAUGGCUUCUCUGUUUGUAAGAAGUAUAGAACAGGAGGAACUGCAGUUACAAGUGCGUCUAGCAAAGUUGUUACAUUUGGGCCCUGAGAGAAAAUGGUUGAACUGCUCCAUUGAGGACUGCAACGGAUGUAAGAUCAAAAGGGCAAGGAUAAGAUACAGUUGUAUGCCUUCUGAAGGCAAUUGCUCCAAUUAUAGAGAUGAAUUGAUCAAACAUUUGCUAAUGGACAGGCUUUGUGAGUGGCUGGUCUAUAAAUUUCACGAAGGAGGUUUAGGAUCAAAUAUGGUGGAUGCCGAUGGCCUAGGAGUGAUACAUUUGGCUGCUAGCCUUGGCUAUGACUGGGCCAUGGGCCUCAUAGUUGCUGCCGGUAUCAAUCCCAAUUUCAGGGAUGCACAAGGAAGAACAGCACUUCACUGGGCAUCAUAUUUUGGGAGAGAAGAGACUGUCAUUGCACUUGUUAGACUGGGAGUGGAUCCAACUGCUGUCGAUGAUCCCACCCCAUCAUUUCCUGGAGGAAGAAUUGCAGCCGACUUAGCUUCAACCCAAGGGCAUAAAGGAAUAGCUGGAUAUUUGGCUGAAGCAUUUUUAACUAGGCACCUAUCAUCAUUAAAUAUCAAAGAAAAUGCAGAGGAUAAUGUUAAUGCAACUAUUGCAGCUGAAAAGGCGACUGAAAUCACAGAAACUUUAGUUGCCCUUCAUUCAAAUGAGGUUGUAGGAGAUGAGCGUUCUUUGAAGGGAUCUCUUGCUGCUGUUCGGAAAUCAGCUCUUGCAGCAGCUCUUAUACGAGCAGCCUACCGAUCACAGUCCUCCCAGUAUAGCCAAUUGUCUUAUAGAAGUGACGAGUGUGAAGUUCUACGUGACCUGGCUACCCUUGGUUCUUUCAACAAGGAUCGAAGGAGGAGUCAUUUUGAAGAUUAUUUGCACUUUGCAGCCCUAAAGAUCCAGAAAAAGUUUCGUGGCUGGAAGGGAAGAAAAGAAUUCUUGAAGAAACGCAAUCGAAUAGUAAAAAUUCAGGCUCAUGUGAGAGGACGUCAAGUGCGGAAGCAGUACAAGAAAGUUAUUUGGUCUGUUAGUAUUCUUGAGAAGGCAAUACUUCGUUGGAGACGCAGAGGAUCUGGUUUGCGAGGAUUUUGUGCAGAGAAGACAGUUGGAAAUGCUAAAAAAGAAACUGGCAGAACUGAUGAAUUCGAGUUUCUGAGAAUUAGCCGCGAACAGAAGUCUGCUGGAGUUGAAAAAGCUCUAGAAACAGUCCAGUCAAUGGUUUGUGAUCCUGCAGCAAGAGACCAAUACAUGAGACUAGUCACAAUAUUCGAGAAAUUCAAGUUGAAACUGGUUGAAUCACAUUUUUGGUUUUAAAGAGAAAUCCGCUGGCCUCUGAUUUGCGGUUGAACCGGCUGAUCCGAUCCGGUUCAGUUCUUAAAACAUUGGAUACAAUAAUGAGAUCAAGGAUAAAGAAAGUAGAAUAUUAAAGCAAGAUUAAAGCUGACAAUGGAUAAUAACAGUGGAAGGUUCGCUUGCUAAUUAAUAGCUGAUCAAUGGUCUAACAAAUUAAUGUCUACUGCUAGAAUCACGCCGCUGCAUAGCAAGUACAUAGGGGGUAACCAAUCUGAUAACUACCAUCUAACGCCUUUUCAAGAAUUUUGAGUUUGUGCCAAAAUGUAGGCGUGAACUGGGCGAAAUUGAUUAAAAAGGUUUUGUUGUACAUGUCAUUUUUCUUUAUAAAUACUAGUCAAUACUUAGCUUGUGUAGAGAGGUAUAGCUGAAAAUGAAUCCACCUCAAGAAUCAGAACUGAAUGUCAUUUUUCUUUAUAAAUACUAGUCAAUACUUAGCUUUUUGCUUUA
Molecule: RNA transcript, 3599 nt
Organism: Mercurialis annua (annual mercury)
Lineage: Eukaryota; Viridiplantae; Streptophyta; Magnoliopsida; Malpighiales; Euphorbiaceae
Gene name: calmodulin-binding transcription activator 3-like
Exons: 13
Source: RefSeq, a predicted model, not a curated record